UCGGGAUAACACCUGGAAACAAGAUGCUAAUACUGGAUAACAACAGAUGAUGCCUAUCAACUGUUUAAAAGAUGGUUCUGCUAUCACUCUUGGAUGGACCUGCGGUGCAUUAGCUAGUUGGUAGGGUAACGGCCUACCAAGGCGAUGAUGCAUAGCCGAGUUGAGAGACUGAUCGGCCACAUUUGGGACUGAGACACGGCCCAAACUCCUACGGGGAGGCAGCAGCC
RNAcentral lists this ribosomal RNA (227 nucleotides) under uncultured Lactobacillus sp. RNAcentral's name for it is "partial 16S ribosomal RNA". It matches the Rfam family "Bacterial small subunit ribosomal RNA", at positions 138 to 355 of the family's 1533-position model. The record is from RNAcentral. Lineage: Bacteria; Bacillati; Bacillota; Bacilli; Lactobacillales; Lactobacillaceae.